CCUACGGGAGGCAGCAGUGGGGAAUCUUGCGCAAUGGCCUAACGGCUGACGCAGCGACGCCGCGUGUAGGAUGAAGCUCUUCGGAGUGUAAACUACUGUUGCCCGGGACGAAUAGCUCGAUUAAUCGAGCCUGACGGUACCGGGUGAGGAAGCACCGGCUAACUCCGUGCCAGCAGCCGCGGUAAUACGGGGGGUGCGAGCGUUGUCCGGAAUCACUGGGCGUAAAGGGCGCGUAGGUGGUUUGAUAAGGGUGUGGUGAAAGCCCGGAGCUCAACUCCGGGUCUGCCGUGCCGACUGUCAAACUCGAGGACUGUAGAGGCAGACGGAAUUCCGGGUGUAGCGGUGGAAUGCGUAGAGAUCCGGAGGAAGACCGGUGGCGAAGGCGGUCUGCUGGGCAGUUUCUGACACUGAGGCGCGACAGCGUGGGGAGCAAACAGGAUUAGAUACCCUGGUAGUCCACGCCGUAAACGAUGGGUACUAGGUGCCUGGGGGAGCGACCCUCUGGGUGCCGGCGCUAACGCAGGAAGUACCCCGCCUGGGGAGUACGACCGCAAGGUUGAAACUCAAAGGAAUUGACGG
RNAcentral lists this ribosomal RNA (579 nucleotides) under uncultured bacterium. Its description in RNAcentral is "bacterial SSU rRNA". It matches the Rfam family "Bacterial small subunit ribosomal RNA", at positions 338 to 916 of the family's 1533-position model. The record is from RNAcentral.